AAAUCACGACUCGCUCUCCGGCGCCUCCCACCCUGCCUCACCCGCCUAUUGGAAACACUCUACGGAGACCGGUUUGGCCGGACUUUUGACUUUAUUGAACUGUUGGGGCCAGGGUAAGGGGGAGAUGGGAGAGCACUGGAAGGCGUUAGACAGAUAUCGCACAGUGGAUGAAUGCCUAAGUGGGGAGCACACCCCUGAGGAGGGUGGGUCGUCGAUGGUUGGGCCGCUCCCAGUGGCUAAAACCUGCAUCGUAGCCACAGCACGAUUCCAGAAAAUCUGGUGUUCUGGUGGGAUCCGAGGAAGCUGGACCGGGGGACUGGGGUAAAACCCUGUGGUCAGAGCGCACGGAUUCUCUGGAUCACUCCUCUUACCCUCCAUCUAACUCUGGAAAUACCGGAUAUGGGACACAGGUGCUCCUGUUUCUCAGGUCUUUGGAUUUUGGAUUGGAACUACACCACCAGCGCACUUUCCCGGGCCUGCAGAUUGUGGGACUUCUCAGCCUCCAUAACCAUGUUUGUGACACCCCACCCGGUACCGGCCUUCCACACGGGAGUCCUGUGACAACCAAAGUCCCCCUGCUGCUCCACAUGGCGGAUGAAUAUCCA
Molecule: non-coding RNA, 605 nt
Organism: Leptonychotes weddellii (Weddell seal)
Lineage: Eukaryota; Metazoa; Chordata; Mammalia; Carnivora; Phocidae
Source: RefSeq, a predicted model, not a curated record